RNAcentral lists this ribosomal RNA (657 nucleotides) under Rhizopus arrhizus. RNAcentral's name for it is "Rhizopus oryzae partial large subunit ribosomal RNA". It matches the Rfam family "Eukaryotic large subunit ribosomal RNA", at positions 78 to 667 of the family's 3401-position model. The record is from RNAcentral. Lineage: Eukaryota; Fungi; Mucoromycota; Mucoromycetes; Mucorales; Rhizopodaceae.
UCCUAGUACGGCGAGUGAGAGGAAGAGCUCAAAGUUGGAACCUGUUUGGCCUAGCUAAACCGGAUUGUAGACUGUAGAAGUGUUUUCCAGGCAAGCCGAGUAAAUAAGUCCUUUGGAACAGGGCAUCAUAGAGGGUGAGAAUCCCGUCUUUGGCUUGAGCAUUUGCCUUUUGUGAUACGCUUUCAAAGAGUCAGGUUGUUUGGGAAUGCAGCCUAAAUUGGGUGGUAAAUCUCACCUAAAGCUAAAUAUUGGCGAGAAACCGAUAGCGAACAAGUACCGUGAGGGAAAGAUGAAAAGAACUUUGAAAAGAGAGUUAAACAGUAUGUGAAAUUGUUAAAAGGGAACCGUUUGGAGCCAGACUGGCUUGUCUGUAAUCAAUCUAGGCUUCGGCCUGGAUGCACUUGCAGGCUAUGCCUGCCAACGACAAUUUGACUUGAGGGAAAAAACUAGGGGAAAUGUGGCCCACUUGUGGGUGUUAUAGUCCCUUAGAAAAUACCUUGGGUUGGAUUGAGGAACGCAGCGAAUGCUUAUUGGCGAGUUUUCCAGGAAGGUUUUCUGAGGUACUACGGUAUCAAGGUUGAUCUUUUUGGUUAUACUUCUAUUCGCUUAGGUUGUUGGCUUAAUGACUCUAAAUGACCCGUCUUGAANNNACGGACC